GCUAAAAUAAACACGAAAACAAUAUAUUCUUCCAAAAGAAAUACUUGUUAUCAUCAUUCUUCCAUUAAUGAAUUUUGAAACUCCAUCGUCUCUUCUUCAACUCGAAUGAAUCAAAAAAAGUAACUAAUCAAACUUAUGAAUCUUGAACGAAAUUUGAAGUAAGAAAACUCCGUUGAAGCUCAAAUAAAAUUGGUUCCUUUUUCUUCUUCAUCAGAUCUCUUGGGACGUAAAUAAUUUCUUCAUGCAUGUAUGUGGUAUUGGACAAGGCAUCGGUCUAAGACAAUAAUUUGGAUCAUCUCAAGGAAUAAAGGAAUGUGCUACAACGGAUAGAAGAACAAUUUGAAUAGAGAAAGGAAGAAAGAUCAGUAAAGGAGUGUGAUUCUAUAGAACAUGAUUUGAUUGGAAGAAUAUGUUGACAUCGAUGGAUGUAAUCUUUCAAACAAAUACAAAUCAAGAAGAUUGUUAUGAAAAGAAUGUUGUAGGUGGUGCAAGCAUAAAAUAUAAUUGUUCAUUCACUCAGGACAAGAAUGAGAUGAAAAUUCCUUAAUUGCAUCCCUUAAGAAGAUUGACAUGCUUGGUCAUGGAUCUUAAAGAUCCCACCAAUUUAUAAUUAAAGCAUGAUCCAGAGCAUGUACAACUUUCUUAUAUUGAACCGAAUUAUAUUAGGGAUUUUGUGUGGGGGGA
Molecule: long non-coding RNA, 684 nt
Organism: Lathyrus oleraceus (garden pea)
Lineage: Eukaryota; Viridiplantae; Streptophyta; Magnoliopsida; Fabales; Fabaceae
Exons: 3
Source: RefSeq, a predicted model, not a curated record